AGAGUUUGAUCCUGGCUCAGAGCGAACGUUAGCGGCGGGCCUAACACAUGCAAGUCGAGCGAGAAAGGGGCUUCGGCCCUGAGUAAAGCGGCGGACGGGUGAGUAACACGUAGGUAAUCUUCCCUUGAGCGGGGGACAACGAGCCGAAAGGCUCGCUAAUACCGCAUACGUUCUUUGGGACUCCGGUCCUGAAGAGGAAA
RNAcentral lists this ribosomal RNA (200 nucleotides) under uncultured bacterium. RNAcentral describes it as "partial 16S ribosomal RNA". It matches the Rfam family "Bacterial small subunit ribosomal RNA", at positions 8 to 205 of the family's 1533-position model. The record is from RNAcentral.